UGUUAGCUUGCUAACAGGCGUCGAGUGGCGGACGGGUGAGUAACGCGUAGGAAUCUACCAAAUAGCGGGGACAGCCCGGAGAAAUCCGGAUUAAUACCGCAUAAUCUCUACGGAGUAAAGGGGGCCUCUAUUUAUAAGCUUUUCACUAUUUGAUGAGCCUGCGUAAGAUUAGCUUGUUGGUGAGGUAAAAAGCUCAUCAAGGCGACGAUCCUUAGCUGGUCUGAGAGGAUGAUCAGCCACACUGGGACUGAGACACGGCCCCAGACUCC
Molecule: ribosomal RNA, 269 nt
Filed under: uncultured bacterium
Lineage: Bacteria
Description: partial 16S ribosomal RNA
Rfam family: Bacterial small subunit ribosomal RNA
Source: RNAcentral